CUGCCAAUACAUGCAGUCGAGCGGACAGAAGGGAGCUUGCUCCCGGAUGUUAGCGGCGGACGGGUGAGUAACACGUGGGUAACCUGCCUGUAAGACUGGGAUAACUCCGGGAAACCGGAGCUAAUACCGGAUAGUUCCUUGAACCGCAUGGUUCAAGGAUGAAAGACGGUUUCGGCUGUCACUUACAGAUGGACCCGCGGCGCAUUAGCUAGUUGGUGAGGUAACGGCUCACCAAGGCGACGAUGCGUAGCCGACCUGAGAGGGUGAUCGGCCACACUGGGACUGAGACACGGCCCAGACUCCUACGGGAGGCAGCAGUAGGGAAUCUUCCGCAAUGGACGAAAGUCUGACGGAGCAACGCCGCGUGAGUGAUGAAGGUUUUCAGAUCGUAAAGCUCUGUUGUUAGGGAAGAACAAGUGCAACAGUAACUGCUUGCACCUUGACGGGACCUAACCAGAAAGCCACGGCAAACUACGUGCCAUCAACCUCGGUAAUAGGUAGGUGGCAAGCGUUGACCGAAAUUAUUGGGCGAAAAGGGGCUCGCAGGCCCUUUCUUAAGUCUGAUAUUCAAGCCCCCCGCCCUCAACCCGGGGAGGGGUCAUUGGUAAAAAGGGGAAAAUUUGAGUGGCAAAAAAGGGGAGUGAAAUUUC
RNAcentral lists this ribosomal RNA (650 nucleotides) under Bacillus sp. WTL021. RNAcentral's name for it is "bacterial SSU rRNA". It matches the Rfam family "Bacterial small subunit ribosomal RNA", at positions 44 to 670 of the family's 1533-position model. Lineage: Bacteria; Bacillati; Bacillota; Bacilli; Caryophanales; Bacillaceae. The record is from RNAcentral.